This is a non-coding RNA of Brachypodium distachyon (stiff brome), 116 nucleotides long. Lineage: Eukaryota; Viridiplantae; Streptophyta; Magnoliopsida; Poales; Poaceae. The record is from Rfam.
UAGGGUACCCUUUGACCCUCCUUAGUUCAAACAAAUGAACUAGUUUUUCAAAAAGUUGUGUUAUUUUAAAAUUUUAGUUCAUUUGGUUAAACUAAGGAGGGUCAAUGGGUACCCUG